RNAcentral lists this ribosomal RNA (253 nucleotides) under uncultured bacterium. Its description in RNAcentral is "partial 16S ribosomal RNA". It matches the Rfam family "Bacterial small subunit ribosomal RNA", at positions 524 to 776 of the family's 1533-position model. The record is from RNAcentral.
UACGGAGGGUGCGAGCGUUAAUCGGAAUUACUGGGCGUAAAGCGCGCGUAGGUGGUUUGGUAAGUCGGAUGUGAAAGCCCCGGGCUUAACCUGGGAACUGCAUUCGAUACUGCCUUACUGGAGUGUGGUAGAGGGUAGUGGAAUUCCAGGUGUAGCGGUGAAAUGCGUAGAUAUCUGGAGGAACAUCAGUGGCGAAGGCGGCUACCUGGACCAACACUGACACUGAGGCGCGAAAGCGUGGGGAGCAAACAGG